Molecule: ribosomal RNA, 1505 nt
Filed under: uncultured prokaryote
Description: partial 16S ribosomal RNA
Rfam family: Bacterial small subunit ribosomal RNA
Source: RNAcentral
AGAGUUUGAUCCUGGCUCAGAUUGAACGCUGGCGGCAGGCCUAACACAUGCAAGUCGAGCGGAAACGAUGGUAGCUUGCUACCAGGCGUCGAGCGGCGGACGGGUGAGUAACGCGUAGGAAUCUACCUAGUAGUGGGGGAUAGCCAGGGGAAACCCUGGCUAUUACCGCAUACGCCCUAUACGGGGGAAAGUGGGGGACCUUCGGGCCUCACGCUAUUAGAUGAGCUUGCGUAGGAUUAGUUAGUUGGUGAGGUAAUGGCUCACCAAGGCAACGAUCCUUAGCUGGUCUGAGAGGACGAUCAGCCACACUGGGACUGAGACACGGCCCAGACUCCUACGGGAGGCAGCAGUGGGGAAUAUUGGACAAUGGGCGCAAGCCUGAUCCAGCAAUACCGCGUGUGUGAAGAAGGCCUGAGGGUUGUAAAGCACUUUCAAUUGUGAAGAAAAGCCUGAGGUUAAUAGCCUUGGGUCUUGACGUUAACUUUAGAAGAAGCACCGGCUAACUCUGUGCCAGCAGCCGCGGUAAUACAGAGGGUGCGAGCGUUAAUCGGAAUUACUGGGCGUAAAGAGUACGUAGGCGGUUUAGUAAGUCAGAUGUGAAAGCCCUGGGCUCAACCUGGGAACUGCAUUUGAAACUGCUGAACUAGAGUGUGGUAGAGGGAAGUGGAAUUCAGGGUGUAGCGGUGAAAUGCGUAGAUAUCCUGAGGAACACCAGUGGCGAAGGCGACUUCCUGGACCAACACUGACGCUGAGGUACGAAAGCGUGGGUAGCAAACAGGAUUAGAUACCCUGGUAGUCCACGCCGUAAACGAUGUCAACUAGUUGUUGGGAGCAUCUUGGCUCUUAGUAACGCAGCUAACGCGAUAAGUUGACCGCCUGGGGAGGUCGCAAGAUUAAAACUCAAAGGAAUAGACGGGGACCCGCACAAGUGGUGGAGCAUGUGGUUUAAUUCGAAAAUACGCGAAGAACCUUACCUAGACUUGACAUACCGAGAAUCCACCAGAGAUGGAGGAGUGCCUGCUUGCAGGAAUUCGGAUACAGGUGCUGCACGGCUGUCGUCAGCUCGUGUCGUGAGAUGUUGGGUUAAGUCCCGCAACGAGCGCAACCCUCGUCGUUAGUUGCUAACAGUUCGGCUGAGCACUCUAGCGAGACUGCCUUCGCAAGGAGGAGGAAGGUGGGGACGACGUCAAGUCAUCAUGGCCCUUACGACCAGGGCUACACACGUGCUACAAUGGGAAGAACAAAGAGUUGCGAAGCCGCGAGGUGUAGCUAAUCUCACAAAUCUUUUCGUAGUCCGGAUCGGAGUCUGCAACUCGACUCCGUGAAGUCGGAAUCGCUAGUAAUCGUGGAUCAGAACGCCACGGUGAAUACGUUCCCGGGUCUUGUACACACCGCCCGUCAUACCAUGGGAGUGGGUUGCACCAGAAGUAGCUAGUCUAACUGUUUACAGGGGACGGUUACCACGGUGUGAUUCAUGACUGGGGUAAAGUCGUAACAAGGUAACC